AGAGCGAACGCUGGCGGCAGGCCUAACACAUGCAAGUCGAGCGCCCCGCAAUGGGAGCGGCAGACGGGAGAGUAACACGUGGGAACGUACCCUUCAGUUCGGAACAACCCAGGGAAACUUGGGCUAAUACCGAAUACGUCCGUAAGGAGAAAGAUUUAUCGCUGAAGGAUCGGCCCGCGUCUGAUUAGCUAGUUGGUGAGGUAACGGCUCACCAAGGCUACGAUCAGUAGCUGGUCUGAGAGGAUGAUCAGCCUCACUGGGACUGAGACACGGCCCAGACUCCUACGGGAGGCAGCAGUGGGGAAUAUUGGACAAUGGGCGCAAGCCUGAUCCAGCCAUGCCGCGUGGAUGAUGAAGGCCUUAGGGUUGUAAAGUCCUUUCGACGGGGAAGAUAAUGACGGUACCCGUAGAAGAAGCCCCGGCUAACUUCGUGCCAGCAGCCGC
RNAcentral lists this ribosomal RNA (444 nucleotides) under uncultured bacterium. Its description in RNAcentral is "SSU rRNA". It matches the Rfam family "Bacterial small subunit ribosomal RNA", at positions 26 to 518 of the family's 1533-position model. The record is from RNAcentral.